AACGCACAUUGCGCCCUCUGGUAUUCCGGAGGGCAUGCCUGUUCGAGCGUCAUUUCACCACUCCAGCCUGGCUGGGUCUUGGGUCGUCGCGAGCGCGCGCGCCUUAAAGUCUUCUGGCUGAGCCGUCCGUCUCCAAGCGUUGUGCAAACGAAUCGCUUUAGAGUCCGGGCGGCCCGGCCGUUAAAUAUCCAUUCAAGGUUGACCUCGGAUCAGGUAGGGAUACCCGCUGAACUUAA
This 236-nucleotide unclassified non-coding RNA is filed under the name uncultured Capnodiales. Its description in RNAcentral is "sequence contains 5.8S rRNA gene, ITS2, 28S rRNA gene". The stretch from base 1 to 52 matches the Rfam family "5.8S ribosomal RNA", at positions 103 to 154 of the family's 154-position model. Lineage: Eukaryota; Fungi; Ascomycota; Dothideomycetes; Capnodiales. The record is from RNAcentral.